UACGUAGGGGGCAAGCGUUGUCCGGAUUCAUUGGGCGUAAAGCGCGCGCAGGCGGCUUCGCAAGUCGGCCGUGAAAUCUCCGGGCUCAACUCGGAGGGGUCGGGCGAGACUGCGAGGCUCGAGGUGGGCAGAGGGUAGUGGAAUUCCGGGUGUAGUGGUGGAAUGCGUAGAGAUCCGGAGGAACACCAGUGGCGAAGGCGGCUACCUGGGCCUGGCCUGACGCUGAGGCGCGAAAGCGUGGGGAGCGAUCCGG
Molecule: ribosomal RNA, 253 nt
Filed under: uncultured bacterium
Lineage: Bacteria
Description: partial 16S ribosomal RNA
Rfam family: Bacterial small subunit ribosomal RNA
Source: RNAcentral